AACGAACGCUGGCGGCAUGCCUAACACAUGCAAGUCGAACGAAGGCUUCGGCCUUAGUGGCGCACGGGUGCGUAACGCGUGGGAAUCUGCCCUUUGGUUCGGAAUAACAGCUGGAAACGGCUGCUAAUACCGGAUGAUGACUAAAGUCCAAAGAUUUAUCGCCAGAGGAUGAGCCCGCGUUGGUUUAGGUAGUUGGUGGGGUAAAGGCUUACCAAGCCGACGAUCCAUAGCUGGUCUGAGAGGAUGAUCAGCCACACUGGGACUGAGACACGGCCCAGACUCCUACGGGAGGCAGCAGUGGGGAAUAUUGGACAAUGGGCGCAAGCCUGAUCCAGCAAUGCCGCGUGAGUGAUGAAGGCCCUAGGGUUGUAAAGCUCUUUUACCCGGGAAGAUAAUGACUGUACCGGGAGAAUAAGCCCCGGCUAACUCCGUG
Molecule: ribosomal RNA, 433 nt
Filed under: uncultured bacterium
Lineage: Bacteria
Description: partial 16S ribosomal RNA
Rfam family: Bacterial small subunit ribosomal RNA
Source: RNAcentral